RNAcentral lists this ribosomal RNA (1956 nucleotides) under human gut metagenome. RNAcentral's name for it is "bacterial LSU rRNA". It matches the Rfam family "Bacterial large subunit ribosomal RNA", at positions 1 to 1979 of the family's 2925-position model. The record is from RNAcentral.
UUAAGUGAAUAAGGGCGUACGGUGGAUGCCUAGGCACUUGGAACUGAAGAAGGACGCAACAAACGGCGAAACGCGACGGGGAGUGGUACGUACACAAAGAUCCGUCGAUAUCCGAAUGGGGAAACCCGGCAGCAGUAAUGAGCUGUCACCCAUGAGUGAAUACAUAGCUCAUGAGGGAGGUACCCGGAGAACUGAAACAUCUAAGUAUCCGGAGGAAAAGAAAAUAAGAAUGAUUCCGUAAGUAGCGGCGAGCGAACGCGGAGGAGCCCAAACCAGAUCUUGAUCUGGGGUUGUAGGACCACGAGAUGGCAAGAGCAAGGCUAAGAGAACGGCAUUGAAAGGCCGACCGGAGAGGGUGCAAGUCCCGUAACUGAAAGCGAUGUGAAGCCUAGUGGUAUCCUGAGUACGGCGAGACACGAGAAAUCUUGUCGGAAGCAGGCGGGACCAUCCGUCAAGGCUAAAUAUACCCAAGUGACCGAUAGUGAACCAGUACCGUGAGGGAAAGGUGAAAAGAACCGCGGGAGCGGAGUGAAAUAGAACCUGAAACCGUAUGCUUACAAGAAGUCAGAGCCCGUUAAAGGGUGAUGGCGUGCCUUUUGUAGAAUGAACCGGCGAGUUACGUUAUCGUGCGAGGUUAAGUAGAAGAUACGGAGCCGAAGCGAAAGCGAGUCUUAAUAGGGCGGCAGUACGAUGAUGUAGACCCGAAACCGUGUGAUCUAGCCAUGACCAGGUUGAAGUUCAGGUGAAACUGAAUGGAGGACCGCACCGACCCCCGUUGAAAAGUUGGCGGAUGAGUUGUGGCUAGGGGAGAAAUUCCAAUCGAACACGGAUAUAGCUGGUUCUCCCCGAAAUAGCUUUAGGGCUAGCGUCGAGGUAGAGUCGCAUGGAGGUAGAGCACUGAAUGUACGAUGGCCCCAUCCCGGGGUACUGAGUAUAAUCAAACUCCGAAUGCCAUGCAGACGUACUCGGCAGUCAGACUGUGGGUGAUAAGGUCCAUGGUCAAAAGGGAAACAGCCCAGACCGCCAGUUAAGGUCCCAAAAUGUAUGCUAAGUGGAAAAGGAUGUGGGGAUGCACAGACAACUAGGAGGUUGGCUCAGAAGCAGCCAUCCUUCAAAGAGUGCGUAACAGCUCACUAGUCGAGUGACCCUGCGCCGAAAAUGUACCGGGGCUAAGCAUACUACCGAAGCUGCGGAUUUGCAGUAAUGCAAGUGGUAGGGGAGCGUUGCAUGCACGUAGAAGCUGUACCGUAAGGAGCAGUGGAGAGCAUGGAAGAGAGAAUGCCGGUGUGAGUAGCGAGAUGUAGGUGAGAAUCCUACACACCGAUAGCCCAAGGAUUCCAGGGGAAGGUUCGUCCGCCCUGGGUAAGUCGGUACCUAACGCGAGGCCGAAAGGCGUAGUGGAUGGAAAACAGGCAGAUAUUCCUGUACCCGCGAUGGAAAUGAAGGAAUGACGGAGAAGGCUAGUGUGAGCCACUUAGUGGAUUGUGGUCGAAGCAUAUAGCAGGCUGACAGUGAAAUGCGUCAGCGGGAUGUAAGAUGUGAUAGGUAAGGGAACGCCCUCGGGCAAGUACUGAAGCACAUGAUGCCAGCUUCCAAGAAAAGUUUCUAGUAUUAAUUCCAUAGCGGCCCGUACCAAAACCGACACAGGUGGGCAAGGAGAGAAUCCUGAGGUGAGCGAGAGAACUGUUGCCAAGGAACUCGGCAAAAUGACUCCGUAAGUUAGCGAUAAGGAGUGCUCUUGUAAAAGAGAGCCGCAGUGAAGAGGCCCAAGCGACUGUUUAACUAAAACACAGCUCUCUGCAAAGUCGCAAGACGAAGUAUAGGGGGUGACGCCUGCCCGGUGCUGGAAGGUUAAGAGGAUUUGUCAUCCGCAAGGAGAAGCAAUGAAUUGAAGCCCCAGUGAACGGCGGCCGUAACUAUAACGGUCCUAAGGUAGCGAAAUUCCUUGUCAGGUAA